Molecule: transfer RNA, 74 nt
Filed under: Bacteroidota bacterium
Lineage: Bacteria; Pseudomonadati; Bacteroidota
Also listed under: 2 other names
Description: tRNA-Val
Rfam family: tRNA
About the family: Transfer RNA (tRNA) molecules are approximately 80 nucleotides in length. Their secondary structure includes four short double-helical elements and three loops (D, anti-codon, and T loops).
Source: RNAcentral
GGGUUCUUAGCUCAGUUGGUUAGAGCGCUACCUUGACAUGGUAGAGGUCACAGGUUCGAUUCCUGUAGAACCCA